CUGUAGCUUAGCUGGUUAAAGCGCCUGCCUAGUAAACAGGAGAUCUUGGGUUCAAAUUUCAGCAG
This 65-nucleotide transfer RNA is filed under the name Mesocricetus auratus (golden hamster). It matches the Rfam family "tRNA", at positions 5 to 66 of the family's 71-position model. Rfam says of the family: Transfer RNA (tRNA) molecules are approximately 80 nucleotides in length. Their secondary structure includes four short double-helical elements and three loops (D, anti-codon, and T loops). Lineage: Eukaryota; Metazoa; Chordata; Mammalia; Rodentia; Cricetidae. The record is from Rfam by way of RNAcentral.